Molecule: non-coding RNA, 556 nt
Organism: Leptonychotes weddellii (Weddell seal)
Lineage: Eukaryota; Metazoa; Chordata; Mammalia; Carnivora; Phocidae
Source: RefSeq, a predicted model, not a curated record
AGAGCCCCCGCACCCAGCUCUGUGAGAGGGAGGAGAGGCACUGGGGCGUCAGGGGACUCUUCCUCUUCUCUCAGACGUUCCCGAGGGCUGGGCGGCAGCGGCUGACCCCGGGAGACAGGCGGGUGGCUGCAGAGCGGGGCGGGGAUGGCGGUACCUGGGCCACAGAGGGCUCUGAGGCAGGCGCUCAGCUCAGCUACGGAUCUAAGAACUGGGAGCGGCCAGGGAGGCAGUGAUCGGCGAGGCCCAAGGAAUUCUCAGGCUGGCGUCUCGACAGGAGAAAACCACCCUCAUGGGGAGGGAAGGGUGGCAUCCCCGGGGACAAAAUCUUCCAUGUUGUCCCCAUGCCCUCUAACCUCCUCUGCCCCUAUGGAGAUAGACAGAUUUGUUUUGUCACCGCUGCAGCAUUUUUUUUUUUUUUGCCAAUUCUUGCUUUUAUGUGUCACUAUCCCACAGACAAUGCAAAUAUUCUAUAGCAAAAGAAUAAUGUGUGAUAAUGUUCACAAUAAUGAUGCACUUAGAAGGCAGAAAUAAAUACCUGAACCCACCUUCUUCCAAA